CUAAUCUUAGUUUAAAAAGAAUGUUGGUUUUGGGGACCAUUGGUCUCGGUUGAGAGGUUUGA
RNAcentral lists this transfer RNA (62 nucleotides) under Rhinebothrium scobinae. Its description in RNAcentral is "tRNA-Pro". The record is from RNAcentral. Lineage: Eukaryota; Metazoa; Platyhelminthes; Cestoda; Rhinebothriidea; Rhinebothriidae.